AAUCCAUAGGUUAAUGAGGCGAACCGGGGGAACUGAAACAUCUAAGUACCCCGAGGAAAAGAAAUCAACCGAGAUUCCCCCAGUAGCGGCGAGCGAACGGGGAGGAGCCCAGAGCCUGAAUCAGCAUGUGUGUUAGUGGAAGCGUCUGGAAAGGCGCGCGAUACAGGGUGACAGCCCCGUACACAAAAGCGCAUGUGCUGUGAGCUCGAUGAGUAGGGCGGGACACGUGGUAUCCUGUCUGAAUAUGGGGGGACCAUCCUCCAAGGCUAAAUACUCCUGACUGACCGAUAGUGAACCAGUACCGUGAGGGAAAGGCGAAAAGAACCCCGGCGAGGGGAGUGAAAAAGAACCUGAAACCGUGUACGUACAAGCAGUGGGAGCCCCACCACUAAGCCAGUGGUGAACUCCACAUCCGCAU
Molecule: ribosomal RNA, 418 nt
Filed under: Salmonella enterica subsp. enterica serovar Typhimurium
Lineage: Bacteria; Pseudomonadati; Pseudomonadota; Gammaproteobacteria; Enterobacterales; Enterobacteriaceae
Description: partial 23S ribosomal RNA
Rfam family: Bacterial large subunit ribosomal RNA
Source: RNAcentral